CGAUUAGCUCAGUUGGUAGAGCGCUUCGUUUACACCGAAGAUGUCGGCGGUUCGAGCCCGUCAUCGCCCACCA
RNAcentral lists this transfer RNA (73 nucleotides) under Mesorhizobium sp. Its description in RNAcentral is "tRNA-Val". It matches the Rfam family "tRNA". Rfam says of the family: Transfer RNA (tRNA) molecules are approximately 80 nucleotides in length. Their secondary structure includes four short double-helical elements and three loops (D, anti-codon, and T loops). The record is from RNAcentral. Lineage: Bacteria; Pseudomonadati; Pseudomonadota; Alphaproteobacteria; Hyphomicrobiales; Phyllobacteriaceae.